This 497-nucleotide ribosomal RNA is filed under the name uncultured bacterium. Its description in RNAcentral is "partial 16S ribosomal RNA". It matches the Rfam family "Bacterial small subunit ribosomal RNA", at positions 28 to 507 of the family's 1533-position model. The record is from RNAcentral.
GACGAACGCUGGCGGCGUGCCUAAUACAUGCAAGUUGAGCGCUGAAGGUUGGUACUUGUACCGACUGGAUGAGCAGCGAACGGGUGAGUAACGCGUGGGGAAUCUGCCUUUGAGCGGGGGACAACAUUUGGAAACGAAUGCUAAUACCGCAUAAAAACUUUAAACACAAGUUUUAAGUUUGAAAGAUGCAAUUGCAUCACUCAAAGAUGAUCCCGCGUUGGAUUAGCUAGUUGGUGAGGUAGAGGCUCACCAAGGCGAUGAUACAUAGCCGACCUGAGAGGGUGGUCGGCCACAUUGGGACUGAGACACGGCCCAAACUCCUACGGGAGGCAGCAGUAGGGAAUCUUCGGCAAUGGACGAAAGUCUGACCGAGCAACGCCGCGUGAGUGAAGAAGGGUUUCGGAUCGUAAAACUCUGUUGGUAGAGAAGAACGUUGGUGAGAGUGGAAAGCUCAUCAAGUGACGGUAACUACCCAGAAAGGGACGGCUAACUACGUG